This 464-nucleotide ribosomal RNA is filed under the name uncultured bacterium. RNAcentral describes it as "partial 16S ribosomal RNA". It matches the Rfam family "Bacterial small subunit ribosomal RNA", at positions 28 to 506 of the family's 1533-position model. The record is from RNAcentral.
GACGAACGCUGGCGGCGUGCUUAACACAUGCAAGUCGAACGGUAAGGCUCCAGCUUGCUGGGGUACACGAGUGGCGAACGGGUGAGUAACACGUGGGUGACCUGCCCUGCACUUCGGGAUAAGCCUGGGAAACUGGGUCUAAUACCGGAUAGGACCGCACCGUGAGGGUGUGGUGGAAAGUUUUUUCGGUGUGGGAUGGGCCCGCGGCCUAUCAGCUUGUUGGUGGGGUAAUGGCCUACCAAGGCGGCGACGGGUAGCCGGCCUGAGAGGGUGGACGGCCAAAAUGGGAGGGAGAAAGGGCCCAGACUCAUAGGGGGGGAAGGGGGGGGGAAUAUUAAAAAAUGGGGGGAAGCGUGGAGGAGGGACGCCGGGGGGGGGAGGAGGGCAUUCGGGUGGAAAACUCCUUUCACCAGCGACGAGGGGUUUAGGGGGGAAAAGGGAGAAGAAGGAGCGACAAAAUAGGU